Molecule: ribosomal RNA, 274 nt
Filed under: uncultured bacterium
Lineage: Bacteria
Description: partial 16S ribosomal RNA
Rfam family: Bacterial small subunit ribosomal RNA
Source: RNAcentral
AUACGGAGGGUGCAAGCGUUGUUCGGAAUCACUGGGCGUAAAGGGCGCGCAGGCGGUUUGGUAAGUCAGAUGUGAAAGCCCACGGCUCAACCGUGGAAGUGCAUUUGAAACUGCCAGACUUGAGUACCAGAGGGGAAAGUGGAAUUCCCGGUGUAGAGGUGAAAUUCGUAGAUAUCGGGAGGAAUACCGGUGGCGAAGGCGACUUUCUGGCUGGAUACUGACGCUGAGGCGCGAAAGCGUGGGGAGCAAACAGAAUUAGAUACCCCAGUAGUCC